RNAcentral lists this ribosomal RNA (301 nucleotides) under uncultured bacterium. RNAcentral describes it as "partial 16S ribosomal RNA". It matches the Rfam family "Bacterial small subunit ribosomal RNA", at positions 509 to 807 of the family's 1533-position model. The record is from RNAcentral.
CAGUAGCCGCGGUAAUACGUAGGGUGCAAGCGUUAAUCGGAAUUACUGGACGUAAAGCGUGCGCAGGCGGUUCGCUAAGACAGAUGUGAAAUCCCCGGGCUUAACCUGGGAACUGCAUUUGUGACUGGCGGGCUAGAGUAUGGCAGAGGGGGGUAGAAUUCCACGUGUAGCAGUGAAAUGCGUAGAGAUGUGGAGGAAUACCGAUGGCGAAGGCAGCCCCCUGGGCCAAUACUGACGCUCAUGCACGAAAGCGUGGGGAGCAAACAGGAUUAGAUACCCGAGUAGUCCCUGUCUCUUAUAC